Ailuropoda melanoleuca (giant panda) is the source of this 1777-nucleotide long non-coding RNA. RefSeq lists it as uncharacterized. The record is from RefSeq and is a predicted model, not a curated record. The transcript is spliced from 2 exons. Lineage: Eukaryota; Metazoa; Chordata; Mammalia; Carnivora; Ursidae.
UGUGUGUAAUUCUAUCAGCCCCCCACAGAACAGCCCUGAAAGAAGGACACGUCACUCACUUCACAUGGGAGGACGCUGUGAGUCAGUCCUGUAAGCUGCCGGGGGUCCUGUACAUGACACAGGGCAAAGCUGACCUCAAACCAGCCCAAUAUCCCUUGAAAGACAGCAUUUCCAGGGCAAAGAGCAAAAAAGCAAAAGCCCAGAUCCUGGAAUAUUCAGAAGGUUCAUUUGAGGGAGAAUGUUGUCACCGGGGUGACUUGAGGCAACAGUUGAUACCGGUAAGUACAAAAAUAAGGUUAGAAAAGCAAGUGUCAAAUCCCUGUGGCUCUGGGCUAAGAAAUGCACCCUUGUCCGAGGCUGACUGCUGGUCCCCUGAGAAGUAACGGCUCCCUUUCUGCUACUGCUCAGCUCUUCGUGAGGGAACCCGAAAAGAGGCUGGGAGUGAGGGGAGACAUCCGCCAGCACCCUUUGUUUCGGGAGAUCAACUGGGAAGAGCUUGAAAGAAAGGAGAUUGACCCACCGUUCCGGCCGAAAGUGAAAUCACCGUAUGAUUGCAGCAAUUUCGACAAAGAAUUCUUAAAUGAGAAACCCCGGCUGUCGUUUGCAGACAGAGCCCUGAUCAACAGUAUGGACCAGAACAUGUUCAGAAACUUUUCCUUCAUUAACCCGGGGAUGGAGAGGUUGAUAUCCUGAAGCACCUCCCCUGACACACGAGGGAAUUUGCCUUGAGGCUGCGAACUGGUUCAAGUGAUGUUCCUUGGAUGCCUUUUCACCUUGGGAAAGAAAAGAAACACUCAAUAAUACAGGCCGAGACCUUUUAGCUCCUCACUGACCUUGUCUCUGCAGCAGAAGCCAACUGCACUUCACUAAUAACCACGCCCCUCGGUGCCUCUCCUGUCCUCUCCCGUGGCCACUCUUGAAGCUAGGUCAUCACUAACCGCAGUUACGGACUGGCACAAUGGUUCUCCUCUGCACUGUGAAAAGACCUGAAAAGUUAAUAUUGCCCUAAGUCAUGGCUCUUCCCGUGGGCACCAAGGGCUGGUCAAUGACCAGAGGGACACAGUGAGCACAGACUUCUCAAGACCGAAGCAGCACGUCGCCUGGGACAGGAGCGGACUUCAUUCAGCCGCAAACAAGUAACCACUAACCCGUUUUGUUCUGUUCACGUCUGUGGAAGUGUAAAUGGUGGCGGGGGAAGGCCUGGAUAGGUUUUUAUGGGAAUUCUUCACAAUAAACGUAGCUUGUAACUUGAGAUUUACAAAUCCAUUCGUUCUGAUUAGCCAUGAAAUUCUCGGGAAAGAGGAAAAUGGAAAGUAAGAGGAGCUCAUGUCACUGAGAUGGAGGGUGUAAUAAAACACCUACUGUGGCUAUCUUGUCAACGUAGACAUUAGAGUCAAACAAAAGAUGGAAUCACUUACUCCUGCCAAUAGGACCAUCCCACCCACCCAUUCUCAGUUGAUUUCAGUAUCAGUGGAAGUUACUCAUUACCAUCCUCUUCUCACUGUAACAAGAAAGGAAGCGUAUAAUUCUUCCAACAGAAAAGAAAACCAAUCUCUUAUUAUACCCUUAAAGUUGAUUUGAUGACUCAUUUGUCUCCCUUUAGGCAUUAUUCAAAAUAAAAGACCCACGUGUGGUACUUGUAGCAGUCGAUCUUGUUUAACUAGAAUUCUAGCUAUACAUUUUUAAGUAUCUGUGCUGUUUGUAUAUUUUGAUAAAAUAUUGUGACUUAAUGAUAAAGAGGUGGCUAUGUAAAAAUGGAAUAAAAGAAAGAAAGAAA